GUGUCAGCCGCCGCGGUAAUACGUAGGGGGCGAGCGUUGUCCGGAUUUACUGGGCGUAAAGGGCGCGCAGGUGGCUUGUUAGGUUCGUCGUUAAAGCCCGGGGCUCAACUCCGGGUGGUCGGCGGAGACCGGCGGGCUUAGAGGCCGGUAGAGGGAUGCGGAAUUCCCGGUGUAGUGGUGAAAUGCGUAGAGAUCGGGAGGAACACCAGAGGCGAAAGCGGCAUCCUGGGCCGAGCCUGACGCUGAGGCGCGAAAGCGUGGGGAGCGAACCGGAUUAGAAACCCGAGUAGUCC
This 293-nucleotide ribosomal RNA is filed under the name uncultured bacterium. RNAcentral describes it as "partial 16S ribosomal RNA". It matches the Rfam family "Bacterial small subunit ribosomal RNA", at positions 505 to 796 of the family's 1533-position model. The record is from RNAcentral.